Molecule: long non-coding RNA, 1067 nt
Organism: Anguilla rostrata (American eel)
Lineage: Eukaryota; Metazoa; Chordata; Actinopteri; Anguilliformes; Anguillidae
Exons: 4
Source: RefSeq, a predicted model, not a curated record
AGGGCUGAGUGUCUGUGGCUGUUGUGGUUAUUUCUGUGGGGAACCCUGAAAAGUGGCAAACUCUCGGUGCUGUAUUGGUAUGGGGCAUGCCCCCGCCAAGGCGUAACUUCGCAGGAUGGCAUACCUGCCAUCCCAAUAGUUAAAACCGCUUAAAAGGAUCUGCCGCAAGGAAGAACGUAAGUGGAGGAAAACAAAAUUGCACAUCCAUUAUGAAAUUUUAAAAGAUAAUCUUACAAACUAUAAUCUGAUUAUCAGAACAGCCAGGCAAGCUUAUUUCUCUACAAUGAUCUCCAACAACCGGGGCAAUCCUAGAAUAUUGUUUUCCACUAUUGACCACCUGAAACUCUGCCCCCACUGAAAACUCUGAAUUACUUUUCACAUCUAAUUGUGAUGAAUUUGCCAUCUUUUUCAGAGACAAGAUUACAAACAUUAGGAUGGGUAUAUCUCCAACAAAGAACAUUGAUUGUAUUUUAAAUGCCCCUGUAUCACAAUGUAAGUAAGGUGUGGAAAUCAAGCCACAUAUGACAUUGGUUUGUGGUGAAAUGGGGGAAUUUACUGAAGAUGCUACUGCAGUUUCCGCUUUCAAAUGUACCUAAUUUAGAAGCCCUUCACAGUUUCACACUGCAUAAUGGAACCUCUGUUCAUCACCGUUCUGGCUUUCUCUGCGAUCUCAGUUUCCAGAGCUGAGGAGUCUUUGUCUCUGUUUGUGCGUAAGGGGGGCUCUGUUCAUCUGGAUGUGCAGGGACAUGGAAAACUCCAGAAUGAAACCCUGUUCUGGCGUUUUAACUCCACAACCAUACUACAAUACAUUAUCAAGUUUAAAGAUCUGACAUUUUAUAAAGAUUAUAAGAUCAGGACUGAAUUUGAUCAAAAGAACUUCACUCUGCUGCUGAAGAACGUGCAGGAGAGAGACAGUGGGAUCUACACAGCAGAGAUAAUGUGAUAAGGACAGCGAAGACAUGUUGCUUCCUACAGGCUCACAGUUCAAGAGGCCCCGCCCACACCCCAGGUGAGAGUGGCUUUACUCUCCUCUGCUGGAGGGUUCUGUAACGUGUCAGUGAACUGCU